GCCGGUGUGGCUCAGUAGAUAGAGCGUCAGCCUACGCACUGAAGGGUCCUGGUUCGAUUCCGGCCAAGGGCA
This is a non-coding RNA of Myotis brandtii (Brandt's bat), 72 nucleotides long. The record is from Rfam. Lineage: Eukaryota; Metazoa; Chordata; Mammalia; Chiroptera; Vespertilionidae.